Molecule: long non-coding RNA, 217 nt
Organism: Arabidopsis thaliana (thale cress)
Lineage: Eukaryota; Viridiplantae; Streptophyta; Magnoliopsida; Brassicales; Brassicaceae
Product: other RNA
Exons: 1
Source: RefSeq
UGUUCUUCCCUUUAUAUUUCCCUGAUGAUGAAGCGAGUGUUCUUUGACAAUUUUGUCCCUACAGUAUCGGCGAGGGGAAGGGUAGUUUAGGAAAGAAAAAGUGAAGCGUUUUGAUUGGUGGAGAGUCGUGGUUUAUGCCUUGUUGGCAUCGGUUGAGUAGUGGUGUGAUACUGUGGUUGGUUUAGUGGACGCUCUCGUGCACCGUUUCGUUUACGUC